CAAAUACUCCAAAAAAUAGUCUCAGUUCAGAUUGCAGGCUGCAACUCGCCUGCAUGAAGUCGGAAUUGCUAGUAAUCGUAGGUCAGCAUACUACGGUGAAUACGUUCCCGGGCCUUGUACACACCGCCCGUCAAACCACGAGAGUUGGCAACACCCGAAGUCGGUAGUCUAACCGCAAGGAGGACGCCGCCGAAGGUGGGGUCGAUGAUUAGGGUUAAGUCGUAACAAGGUAAC
Molecule: ribosomal RNA, 234 nt
Filed under: uncultured bacterium
Lineage: Bacteria
Description: partial 16S ribosomal RNA
Rfam family: Bacterial small subunit ribosomal RNA
Source: RNAcentral